Agrobacterium tumefaciens is the source of this 67-nucleotide regulatory RNA element. It matches the Rfam family "S-element". From Rfam's summary of the family: This family represents a group of S-elements from p42d and related plasmids. The S-element has multiple functions and is believed to act as a negative regulator of repC transcription, be required for efficient replication and act as a translational enhancer of repC. The record is from Rfam. NCBI's taxonomy places the organism in Bacteria, Pseudomonadati, Pseudomonadota, Alphaproteobacteria, Hyphomicrobiales, Rhizobiaceae.
AGUCAAGAGUCUUUGGCAUCGUUUUGGUGAGCGUGAAUCUUUUGCCUUUUUGAAAGGCGAGGACAUG